This 69-nucleotide transfer RNA is filed under the name Ictidomys tridecemlineatus (thirteen-lined ground squirrel). RNAcentral's name for it is "Spermophilus tridecemlineatus (thirteen-lined ground squirrel) tRNA". It matches the Rfam family "tRNA". From Rfam's summary of the family: Transfer RNA (tRNA) molecules are approximately 80 nucleotides in length. Their secondary structure includes four short double-helical elements and three loops (D, anti-codon, and T loops). The record is from Rfam by way of RNAcentral. RNAcentral also lists the same sequence under 1 other name. Lineage: Eukaryota; Metazoa; Chordata; Mammalia; Rodentia; Sciuridae.
GGGGUUGUGGCUCAGUGGUAGAGCACUUGCCUGGCAUGUGUGAGGCACUGUGUUCAAUUCUCAGCACCA